AGUGGAUGGGGAGCAACCUAGUUGUGCGUGUGUAAAGGUAGUGCCAAGAAAAGCGAUGAUCAUGUUGAAAAUCAAUUCCCGGUACCCGAAACCGACACAGGUGGGCAAGUAGAGAAUACUAAGGGGCGCGAGGUAACUCUCUCCAAGGAACUCGGCAAAAUGACCCCGUAACUUAGGGAGAAGGGGUGCCACCGAGAGGUGGUCGCAGUGAAGAGGCCCAGGCGACUGUUUAGCAAAAACAUAGGUCUCUGCAAACUCGAAAGAGGAGGUAUAGGGGCUGACGCCUGCCCAGUGCCGGAAGGUUAAAGAAGUUGGUCAGUUUUAGGAUGAAGCUAGCGACUGAAGCCCCGGUGAACGGCGGCCGUAACUAUAACGGUCCUAAGGUAGCGAAAUUCCUUGUCGGGUAAGUUCCGACCCGCACGAAAGGCGUAACGAUCUGGGCGCUGUCUCGGAGAGAGGCUCGGCGAAAUAGGAUUGUCUGUGAAAAUACGGACUACCUGCAUUUGGACAGAAAGACCCUAUGAAGCUUUACUAUAGCUUGGAAUUGUGUUCGGGCUUCCUGUGCGCAGGAUAGGUGGGAGGCGUAGAAGGUAUUCUUGUGGGGAUACUGGAGCCAACGGUGAGAUACCACUCUCAGGAGGCUAGAAUUCUAACUUAAUUAAGGACAGUUUCGGGUGGGUAGUUUGACUGGGGCGGUCGCCUCCAAAAAGGUAACGGAGGCGUACAAAGGUUCCCUCAGACUGGUUGGAAAUCAGUCGAAGAAUGCAAAGGCAGAAGGGAGCUUGACUGCGAGAAGUACAGUUCGAGCAGGGUGGAAACACGGUCUUAGUGAUCCGACGGUGCUGUGUGGAAGGGCCGUCGUUCAACGGAUAAAAGUUACUCUAGGAUAACAGGCUGAUCUCCCCCAAGAGUUCACAUCGACGGGGAGGUUUGGCACCUCGAUGUCGGCUCAUCGCAACCUGGGGCGGGAGUACGUCCCAAGGGUUGGGCUGUUCGCCCAUUAAAGCGGUACGUGAGCUGGGUUCAGAACGUCGUGAGACAGUUCGGUCCAUAUCCGAUGUAGGCGUGAGAAUAUUGAGAGGAGCCUUCCUUAGUACGAGAGGACCGGGAAGGACGCACCGCUGGUGUACCUGUUAUGAUGCCAAUUGUAAACGCAGGGUAGCCAAGUGCGGAGAGGAUAACCGCUGAAAGCAUCUAAGUGGGAAGCCCACCUCAAGAUGAGUAUUCUGGUGUAAGGUCACGGGAAGACGACCCGUAAAUAGGCACGAGGUGGAAGUGCAGAGAUGUAUGAAGCCGAAGUGUACUAAUAGACCGUCGGCUUGAC
Molecule: ribosomal RNA, 1324 nt
Filed under: metagenome
Description: bacterial LSU rRNA
Rfam family: Bacterial large subunit ribosomal RNA
Source: RNAcentral